CCCUUCUCAGAGGCACACCUGGAGAGUUUCCAGUGCUCUACCAGUCUCGACUACAGGAGGGAGAGUCAAGCAGACACAUAUCCAUUCCAUUCCUAGCUUGAGCAGUGGCUAGCGAGUGGAAGGCAAUCUGCUACAAGU
RNAcentral lists this small nucleolar RNA (138 nucleotides) under Ornithorhynchus anatinus (platypus). The record is from RNAcentral. Lineage: Eukaryota; Metazoa; Chordata; Mammalia; Monotremata; Ornithorhynchidae.